Molecule: long non-coding RNA, 474 nt
Organism: Arabidopsis thaliana (thale cress)
Lineage: Eukaryota; Viridiplantae; Streptophyta; Magnoliopsida; Brassicales; Brassicaceae
Product: other RNA
Exons: 1
Source: RefSeq
CACACCACAAGGAACCAGAAGAUGAUCUUUAUGUCGUUGGAAAGAUCUCGCUUUCAAGUUUCCAGAACACCUUUAGAAGCAAAUUCCGAGGUCGCUAGCCAAACAAAACGAAGAAGGAACAAUCAACCCUGACUCAUAAAACUGAUUAGAAACCUGAAACUUUCUUCCCCUGAGCUACUUCAUCAUUCUUUGAUUCUUCAUAAUACUGGCGAAUCAUUAAGAACCGUACUCAAUAGGCUCAUGUUUGAUUCAUCUCUCUUUCUCAUGAUAAGAAUCCUUGUUGGCCGCACUAAGAACAAAAACCUCUUCUUUCAUUUUGAACAAGAACAUGACCAUGAACAAGCUCUUCUUCUCUUCUUACAAAGCUCUUUAUAGAAUUCAUAUCAGUGGUGAAUCAAACAAUGUGGGCAGUCUUUUUCAAUCAUCAUUGGCUCUUUAUCUAAACCAAGUUCACAAAAUUUAAUAAGAACACAU